AACGAACGCUGGCGGCGCGCCUAAUACAUGCAAGUCGAGCGAGAAGGUGUAGCAAUACACUUGUAAAGCGGCGAACGGGUGAGGAAUACAUGGGUAAUCUACCAUCGAGUGGGGAAUAACCAACCGAAAGGUUGGCUAAUACCGCGUACGCCUCCGAGUCUUCGGGUUCGGAGGGAAAGCUGCACUGUGAGUGUAGCGCUCUUUGAUGAGCUCAUGUCCUAUCAGCUUGUUGGUAGGGUAACGGCCUACCAAGGCUUUGACGGGUAGCUGGUCUGAGAGGACGAUCAGCCACACUGGCACUGCGACACGGGCCAGACUCCUACGGGAGGCAGCAGUAAGGAAUAUUGCGCAAUGGGCGAAAGCCUGACGCAGCGACGCCGCGUGGGGGAUGAAGGUCUUCGGAUUGUAAAGCUCUUUCAGGUGGAAGAAAACGCAUAGGUUAAUACCUUGUGUGGAUGACGGUACCAUCAGAAGAAGCACCGGCUAACUACG
This 492-nucleotide ribosomal RNA is filed under the name uncultured bacterium. RNAcentral's name for it is "bacterial SSU rRNA". It matches the Rfam family "Bacterial small subunit ribosomal RNA", at positions 29 to 505 of the family's 1533-position model. The record is from RNAcentral.